CCUACGGGAGGCAGCAGUAGGGAAUUUUCCGCAAUGGGCGAAAGCCUGACGGAGCAAUACCGCGUGAGGGAUGACGGCCUGUGGGUUGUAAACCUCUUUUCUCAAGGAAGAAGUUCUGACGGUACUUGAGGAAUAAGCAUCGGCUAACUCUGUGCCAGCAGCCGCGGUAAUACAGAGGAUGCAAGCGUUAUCCGGAAUCACUGGGCAUAAAGCGUCUGUAGGUUGUUUAGUAAGUCUGCUGUUAAAGACUGGGGCUUAACCCCAGAAAAGCAGUGGAAACUGCUAGACUCGAGUGUGGUAGAGGUAGAGGGAAUUCCUAGUGUAGCGGUGAAAUGCGUAGAUAUUAGGAAGAACACCAAUGGCGAAGGCACUCUACUGGGCCAUAACUGACACUGAGAGACGACAGCUAGGGGAGCAAACGGGAUUAGAUACCCCGGUAGUCCUAGCCGUAAACGAUGGAUACUAGAUGUUGCACGUAUUAACCCGUGCAGUAUCGUAGCUAAGGCGUUAAGUAUCCGCCUGGGAAGUACGCUCGCAAGNGUGAACUCAAUGAAUUGACGNNGAGAGUGCGACGACGACGACGAGGGAGAGG
RNAcentral lists this ribosomal RNA (592 nucleotides) under uncultured bacterium. Its description in RNAcentral is "bacterial SSU rRNA". It matches the Rfam family "Bacterial small subunit ribosomal RNA", at positions 338 to 944 of the family's 1533-position model. The record is from RNAcentral.